AGUGAACGCUGGCGGUAGGCCUAACACAUGCAAGUCGAACGGCAGCACAGUAAGAGCUUGCUCUUACGGGUGGCGAGUGGCGGACGGGUGAGGAAUACAUCGGAAUCUACUUUUUCGUGGGGGAUAACGUAGGGAACCUUACGCUAAUACCGCAUACGACCUACGGGUGACAGCAGGGGAUCUUCGGACCUUGCGCGAUUGAAUGAGCCGAUGUCGGAUUAGCGGGUUGGCGGGGUAAAGGCCCACCAAGGCGACGAUCCGUAGCUGGUCUGAGAGGAUGGUCAUCUACACUGGAACUGAGACACGGUCCAGACUCCUACGCGAGGCAGCAGUGGAGAAUAUUGGACAAUGGGCGCAAGCCUGACCCAGCCAGACCGCGUGGGUGAAGAAGGCCUUCGGGUUGUAAAGCCCUUUUUUUGGGAAAGAAAAGCAGCAGGUUAAUACCCCGCUGUUCUGACGGUACCAAAAGAAUAAGCACCGGCUAACUUCGUG
This 492-nucleotide ribosomal RNA is filed under the name uncultured bacterium. Its description in RNAcentral is "partial 16S ribosomal RNA". It matches the Rfam family "Bacterial small subunit ribosomal RNA", at positions 29 to 507 of the family's 1533-position model. The record is from RNAcentral.